AUUGAACGCUGGCGGCAGGCCUAACACAUGCAAGUCGAGCGGAUGAAGGGAGCUUGCUCCUGGAUUCAGCGGCGGACGGGUGAGUAAUGCCUAGGAAUCUGCCUGGUAGUGGGGGAUAACGUCCGGAAACGGGCGCUAAUACCGCAUACGUCCUGAGGGAGCAAGUGGGUGAUCUUCGGACCUCACGCUAUCAUAUGAGCCUAGGUCGGAUUAGCUAGUUGGUGGGGUAAAUGCCUACCAAGGCGACGAUCCGUAACUGGUCUGAGAGGAUGAUCAGUCACACUGGAACGGAGACACGGUCCAGAGUCCUACGGGAGGCAGCAGUGGGGAAUAUUGGACAAUGGGCGAAAGCCUGAUCCAGCCAUGCCGCGUGUGUGAAGAAGGUCUUCGGAUUGUAAAGCACUUUAAGUUGGGAGGAAGGGCAGUAAGUUAAUACCUUGCUGUUGUGACGUUACCAACAGAAGAAGCACCGGCUAACUUCGUG
RNAcentral lists this ribosomal RNA (484 nucleotides) under uncultured bacterium. RNAcentral's name for it is "partial 16S ribosomal RNA". It matches the Rfam family "Bacterial small subunit ribosomal RNA", at positions 30 to 507 of the family's 1533-position model. The record is from RNAcentral.